CAUUUUAUGGGGUCGUUCUACUGUACCACUUAGGCUUUGGUACCACUGGCAUUCACAACCGUUGGAUUAUUUUCUGAUUAAUUUCCUCUGUUGAUUACAUGACCGGUUAUGUUUUCAGGUGGUGACAUACGCAAAUCACAGUCACAAUUAUGCCUCUGCUCUAAGAAUAAACUUCACCACUAAGAAGAACUAUUUCCAUUCCUCCACAACUUCAACCGUUACCUCCUCCGAUUCAAUGUAUUCAUGGUGAAAAUCAACCUCCAAAAUACGCUCCCGUAUCCUCUCCCUCUCUUCUCUCCUCUCAUGAGAUUCUCACUCUCCCUUCUCCCUUUCUUCACUAGCCGACUCCGAUCGUCCCGCCCAUCUCAUUCCUCCCUUUAGUUCUCUCAAAACUGUACACUGAUAACACUUGGAACAGCAGGAAGGGGAAGGUGCCGCUGCAUCCGAGGAAACUAAGAAGAGCAACCACGUUCUAAGGAAGCUUAAUUUCGAGAUUGUAAGCGUCGAUUUAGGGUCGUUCUACUGUAAGUGAUGAUAAGGAUCAUCAUCCCUCCCAUCUCAUUUCUCUCUUCAAACUCUGUCAAUUUCUUUACGAAACGUUUCUAUUACAGAGAUUAAAUAAGAUGUUAAAAUAAUGCUGCGCUGGUGAUCAAAAGCUAUAGCCAUGAGUUAAUUGUGCACCCUAUUCUAGAAGAGUCUUAUAAAAUUAGGUACUUUCUUUUUUGGUUGUCUUUAAUGUAUGUUCUACAUAAUUAUUUUGAUUACAGAACCUUGUGCCUAGGUAUACCGUUGCACUUUGUUGAAAUAAAAAUUGAUUUAGGGAAGGGAACAAAAAGCACAUAUCAGAAAAGGAUGCGGCCGAGGUUGAUAAACGGUUAGAGAGCUUUGAUUGUCUUGUUGUUGGACCUGGCUCUGGAAGGGACCCGUUUCUUCUGGUUGGUUUUGUAAAACAAAACACAAGUUGCAUCUGAAAUAUCAUGCAUUAGUGAAUGAAGAUGCUACAUGAGCAGCACUGUGAAUAUGGAAAUUGUGCUUUAAGUUAUGAAAGGUCAAGAUGCGUCACCAGAGCAAAAACAAAGCAGUACUCUUUGAUUCAACUGGUUUCCAUGGAAUGAUGUGAUUCACAGUUUGCAUGUGAAAUCAUAUGACAAACUGAUCAGGCACUAACCUUAGUUCUUUAGCUCAAUUUGUCUGUAGCGACAAAAUUAUGUUCUUCAGCGAUAUUUAUUUAUUAUUUAAUUUUUUUAGUAUCAAACAUUCUCAA
This is a long non-coding RNA of Mercurialis annua (annual mercury), 1264 nucleotides long. RefSeq lists it as uncharacterized. NCBI's taxonomy places the organism in Eukaryota, Viridiplantae, Streptophyta, Magnoliopsida, Malpighiales, Euphorbiaceae. The transcript is spliced from 4 exons. The record is from RefSeq and is a predicted model, not a curated record.